AGAGUUUUGAUCAUGGCUCAGGAUGAACGCUAGCUACAGGCUUAACACAUGCAAGUCGAGGGGCAUCAUUAUCGAAGCUUGCUUUGAUAGAUGGCGACCGGCGCACGGGUGAGUAACACGUAUCCAACCUGCCGUCAGCUUGGGGAUAGCCCUCUGAAAGGAGGAUUAAUACCCGAUGUGGUUGUGUUCCUGCAUGGGGAUGCAAUUAAAGAUUCAUCGGCUGUCGAUGGGGAUGCGUCUGAUUAGGCUUGUUGGCGGGGUAACGGCCCACCAAGGCACCGAUCAGUAGGGGUUCUGAGAGGAAGGUCCCCCACAUAGGAACUGAGACACGGUCCUAACUCC
RNAcentral lists this ribosomal RNA (342 nucleotides) under uncultured Bacteroidales bacterium. Its description in RNAcentral is "bacterial SSU rRNA". It matches the Rfam family "Bacterial small subunit ribosomal RNA", at positions 8 to 339 of the family's 1533-position model. Lineage: Bacteria; Pseudomonadati; Bacteroidota; Bacteroidia; Bacteroidales. The record is from RNAcentral.